RNAcentral lists this ribosomal RNA (241 nucleotides) under uncultured bacterium. RNAcentral's name for it is "partial 16S ribosomal RNA". It matches the Rfam family "Bacterial small subunit ribosomal RNA", at positions 92 to 334 of the family's 1533-position model. The record is from RNAcentral.
CGACCGGCGCACGGGUGCGUAACGCGUAUGCAACCUACCUUUAACAGGGGGAUAACACUGAGAAAUUGGUACUAAUACCCCAUAAUAUCAUAGAAGGCAUCUUUUAUGGUUGAAAAUUCCGAUGGUUAGAGAUGGGCAUGCGUUGUAUUAGCUAGUUGGUGGGGUAAUGGCUCACCAAGGCGACGAUACAUAGGGGGACUGAGAGGUUAACCCCCCACACUGGUACUGAGACACGGUCCAA